This 492-nucleotide ribosomal RNA is filed under the name uncultured bacterium. RNAcentral's name for it is "partial 16S ribosomal RNA". It matches the Rfam family "Bacterial small subunit ribosomal RNA", at positions 29 to 507 of the family's 1533-position model. The record is from RNAcentral.
AGUGAACGCUGGCGGUAGGCCUAACACACGCAAGUCGAACGGCAGCACAGUAAGAGCUUGCUCUUACGGGUGGCGAGUGGCGGACGGGUGGGGAAUACAUCGGAAUCUACUUUUUCGUGGGGGAUAACGUAGGGAAACUUACGCUAAUACAGCAUACGACAUACGUGAGUAAUCAGUGGAUCUUCGUACCUUGCUCGAUUGAAUGAGCCGAUGUCGGAUUAGCUAGUUGACGGGGUAAUGGCCCACCAAGGCGACGAUCCGUAGCGGGUCUGAGAGGAUGAUCAGCCACACUGGAACUGAGACACGGUCCAGACUCCUACGGGAGGCAGCAGUGGGGAAUAUUGGACAAUGGGCGCAAGCCUGCUCCAGCCAUACCGCGUGGGUGAAGAAGGCCUUCGGGUUGUAAAGCCCUUUUGUUGGGAAAGAAAAGCAGCAGGUUAAUACCCCGCUGUUCUGACGGUACCCAAAGAAUAAGCACCGGCUAACUUCGUG